Molecule: long non-coding RNA, 2844 nt
Filed under: Hordeum vulgare
Lineage: Eukaryota; Viridiplantae; Streptophyta; Magnoliopsida; Poales; Poaceae
Description: long non-coding RNA (HVUL_LNC014944)
Source: RNAcentral
AUAUCCAGCCUUCAUCCUCGAUAGUCCCAGUCCCUAUGGCUGUCGGGGAUCCAUCUACGGGCUUUCGCUGUUGUUGCUCCCUGGGCUCCAUCUCCACGGGCUCCUGCUGCUGUCGGAGCUUCAUCUUCCGAUUCAUGUUGUUGCCUUUUUUGACACAUCUACCCUGUUGCUACAGGGCUCCCUCUUCGUCCAAACCCGCCGCUGUCGUACCUGCUACUAUCGGGCUCCAUCAUCGAAAUCCACGCCCAUAGCUCUGCCUCCGUACCCUGAGUAAGGAUCAACUCCUUAUGAGAUUACUUCAUAUGCAACUAAAUCAUAUGCAGUUGCUUGUUAUAAUUGACAACCGGACAAUAAUGUGUAUUGGUUGCUUGAAUAAUGAUUGUCAAUUCAUCGAUGCAAAGCUAACACAAACGCACUUGCCAAAUUCAGAUAUUGGCCAAUUUGAUAUUAAGGGUGCAUCAUGGACAAGACAUGGUUGUCUAAGCCUAGGCAUGUCAAGUUUAUUUUUUUGCCAACUCAUAAGUGGUAUAAUUAUGUCAUUAGUUAUUCUGAUAUCUAAAAAGUACAUGUAGGCACACAAAUUUGCUGGUUCAAACAGUUGUUGACCACUUCAUACAAUGCAUUUGCUGGUUCAAACUGAUGUGCACACAACGGCAUCUGUGAUCUACUCAUUUUGCCACUUUAAAAUAAAUAGAUGCAAAUUUGAUGUAUUUAGUAUGUUCAAUUUGCUCAUAGGGGUUGUUUGCUUGACCUUGUGCAUGGUGCCAAAAAGCUACAGCGGCAGGCUUUUCCGUCAAAGGAAAUUGAUACACACUAGAAAAACUUACCUAUUUCUAUCAGGUAAAGCAUUACUAAUAUUUUUACGUAUCCAAGUGGAGUUUGUUUUCUUUUGACAGAAAGAGUGUUUUUCUCUUAAUGCAAAACAUUAAUUCAUACUAUAUAUGUAGCAUGUAGUUUUGCAUAUUUAAGGAUCCACAAGAAUUGGGUUUAAAUUCUAGAUCUACUGUGCAAUUGAGCCAUAUUGUAUGUCUUCACAUGUGGUAUUUUGGUAGAUAUGAGGUAAAUUGAGGGUAGUUAUUGCUGGUAUAAAGAGCUUCCAUCUCAAAGUACUUUUUAGGACUGGGGUUUGCUUUAAUCCUCGCUCCACCACUGAUCUGGGUUGUUUAUUAGAUUGACAUGUUGAUUUGGAGUUUAACAUGCAUCUAUGUCGAGUCUUGGAAGGUGACCGUGAACUUGGAGAACGAAGAUUCGUACAAGAGUUGGUGAUGACCUCUAGCUUGGUAGUUCUAAUACGUGUGUGUUAACUCAAUACAGAGAGGAAAGGAUGCAUUCAGCUGAUAGAUCACCGUGAAUUAUAAUCAUUUCCUAUACUUAUAUAUUUUUGGCAUGAUGAUUUGAGUAUUGACCCGUACUUUGUAAUAGGCUAAUGGGUUAUUACUUCUGGUAGUAGCAUUUGUCGUUGUGCUGAUAUAGUCUAUAUGUGGGUAGAAACAUGUUUUCUGUUGGACAGCAUUUCCGUAUUGCACCCUAAAGGCCUGAACACAAAUAAUGUGUCAUGUUAUAUCAGUAAUGAGAUGCGAGUUGAUUACAAUUGAAAGCAAUGCAUAGAGAAUAAUCAGAUACUUAGUAUGGUGUAUGCAAAUUUUAGAAACCGCUAUUUCAUGGUUCGUGGUAGAUACCAAUAUGUCACAGAAAACAUUUUUUAUACUUCGUAUAAUUGGAAAAAAUAUAUAAUCAACACACAGGAUGACACGCAGUCAAACGAGAAAUAUAAACUUGUGUGGUUGUUUUGUAAUUUGCUGCUAAUAUAUAUAUUUCUACUUCUGUAACUAUUUUGUUAGGUUUGAAGUAUAUUGGUCGUGAAUGAAAGUCUAUUGGGACCCUAAGCAUCAUAUUGGAUCAUUGUGACAACAACGAGUAUUCACAAGUGUGGUAGGUUGUCCAUCUCAUCUCCAAUUUUGAAAGCAUAUAAAUAUUAUUUCUUAAUCAAAGAAAAUGAGCAUACAUGUGGUAUUUCUUGGACUUGAUUUUUUAUCUUGAGUUGGACAAUAAGAUGUUUUAACUGCAGUUGGCCAAUAAGAUAUUGAUCAUAAGUCUCACGUGUUAAUUCAUAAUGAGGUCUCUGAAAUUCUGUUUUGUCAGUUGAUAGGUGAUGUACAAUGCUCUCUGUUAUGAGAUUGCAUGUUGGCAAGUAAGCAGGAAGUUUGCUAUAAUUUCUUUUCAUUAGUCUCAUCUCAACGGUGUUCAUAUUUUUUACUAUUACUAUUAUGCGUAUUUCUUUGCAUUAGUCUCAUCUCAACGAAGUUUUCAAUAGUAUUUAUGGAAAUUUAAAAUGUAUCAUGUGACUAUAUAUUUCUGAAAUUUCUGAUCAUUUCAUUGUACAAAUUGACGAGCGUGGCAACGCGCGCCAUGAGUGAUCUAGUGUCUAAUUACAAGUGGGUAUGUUUUCAUUAUUCUCUUAUCAUUAACAUCAUGUGGAAUAUUUUCAGGUACCCACCCACCUAGUGUGUAUGGAUGUGAUCAUAGUGUUAGGUGGCAUUUUCCUCUUUGCAGUAUUUUGGACCGGCCAACUUGUGAUCAUGAAUCUAAUUUGUGUUCUGGACCAUUUGGCGCUUCAAAUGUAGUAGAAAUCUUGUGGUCAUGGAUGUAACUUAAGUGUUUUGGACCAUUUAGUGUUUAAACUCUUUUAGAACAGCAAAUAGUGGUUCCUUUAUGUGACUUGUGUUUUCUGGAUGGUAGUCAAGAUGGACAAACUUUCCUUUGUCAAGGUUGUCCUUUUUUUGAACUUGUGAUCAAUAUAUAUGUUUGUGAACAUAUUAUCUAUGCUUGUGCAGUGUGUGUUCA